AUUGAACGCUGGCGGCAGGCCUAACACAUGCAAGUCGAGCGGAUGAAGGGAGCUUGCUCCUGGAUUCAGCGGCGGACGGGUGAGUAAUGCCUAGGAAUCUGCCUGGUAGUGGGGGAUAACGUCCGGAAACGGGCGCUAAUACCGCAUACGUCCUGAGGGAGAAAGUGGGGGAUCUUCGGACCUCCCGCUAUCAGAUGAGCCUAGGUCGGAUUAGCUAGUUGGUGGGGUAAAGGCCUACCAAGGCGACGAUCCGUAACUGGUCUGAGAGGAUGAUCAGUCACACUGGAACUGAGACACGGUCCAGACUCCUACGGGAGGCAGCAGUGGGGAAUAUUGGACAAAGGGCGAAAGCCUGAUCCAGCCAUGCCGCGUGUGUGAAGAAGGUCUUCGGAUUGUAAAGCACUUUAAGUUGGGAGGAAGGGCAGUAAGUUAAUACCUUGCUGUUUUGACGUUACCAACAGAAUAAGCACCGGCUAACUUCGUG
Molecule: ribosomal RNA, 484 nt
Filed under: uncultured bacterium
Lineage: Bacteria
Description: partial 16S ribosomal RNA
Rfam family: Bacterial small subunit ribosomal RNA
Source: RNAcentral